UACGAAGGGGGCGAGCGUUGUUCGGAAUUACUGGGCGUAAAGGGCGCGCAGGCGGCUCUGAAAGUCAGAUGUGAAAGCCCCGGGCUUAACCUGGGAACUGCAUUUGAUACUCUAGAGCUUGAGUACGGGAGAGGAGAGUGGAAUUCCCAGUGUAGAGGUGAAAUUCGUAGAUAUUGGGAAGAACACCGGUGGCGAAGGCGGCUCUCUGGACCGUAACUGACGCUGAGGCGCGAAAGCGUGGGGAGCGAACAGG
RNAcentral lists this ribosomal RNA (253 nucleotides) under uncultured bacterium. Its description in RNAcentral is "partial 16S ribosomal RNA". It matches the Rfam family "Bacterial small subunit ribosomal RNA", at positions 524 to 776 of the family's 1533-position model. The record is from RNAcentral.